Molecule: unclassified non-coding RNA, 336 nt
Filed under: soil metagenome
Description: partial contains 5.8S ribosomal RNA, internal transcribed spacer 2, and large subunit ribosomal RNA
Rfam family: 5.8S ribosomal RNA (bases 1-120)
Source: RNAcentral
GAUGAAGAACGUAGCGAAAUGCGAUAAGUAGUGUGAAUUGCAGAAUUCAGAGAAUCAUCGAAUCUUUGAACGCACAUUGCGCCCGCCAGUAUUCUGGCGGGCAUGCCUGUUCGAGCGUCAUUUCAACCAUCAAGCCCCCGGCUUGUGUUGGGGACCUGCGGCUGCCGCAGGCCCUGAAAACCAGUGGCGGGCUCGCUGUCACACCGAGCGUAGUAGAUUUUCAUCUCGCUCAGGGCGUGCUGCGGGUUCCGGCCGUAAAAAGCCUUAUUUACCCAAGGUUGACCUCGGAUCAGGUAGGAAGACCCGCUGAACUUAAGCAUAUCAAUAAGCGGAGGA